UUCUAGCAUAUGUUUUGUCAGAAGACUAAGAAGGAUACUCAGCCUUGUGGUUGUACCUGCUGGGAGCCAGGACUGCCAGAGGCCAUUUUCUCUGCUGGGGCAGAGAUUUUGCACAGCAAUUCUCAAUUUGAGUCUGAGUCCCAUCUCUACAACUCCCAUUUUUCAUCUGUAGAUCCUCAAAGCAUCUAUGGAUCCUCCCAGUGAGACAGGAUGGAGGCAAGAAAAAAGAAGGUAGACAGAGCCUUGCCCAAGCCACCAAGCCAGAGCGUGAUCCUGGGAAUCUGCUUCUUCAAACACUGCAGUCCCCAUCUCUGCUGAGGUGGUUUAUUUGUGUGGUAGAGAGGCAGCUUUUGCUUCCUAAACUGCCACACUGGCUUAACAGGAAUCAUGAUAACAAUGGCUGAGAUCAUUGAUGUGUCAUAGAGAUAAAUGCCUUUCAGUUACUGGAGGAGGAUGGACAGACCCUGAUGGUCCUGCCAAGCAGGGCAGGGUGCUGAACUCGCUUUGCUGUAACCCAGUCUCCUCUGACUUGUAAAAUGACCUAUGGCCCUCAGAUAUGACUUCUUUUAUGUCUGCCAUCCAGAUUUGGAAGGCAGCUAGGUCAGUCUUACUAAUACCUCGAGACUUUAAUAUUCAUCAUACUGCUUUUGAUUUUGUGGAAAAAGCCUAACUGUUCUGGAAGAAUGCAGGUCAUUAGAGCCUUGAAGGUGAACUCCAGUAAAAUAACUCGUGUUUCUAACCCUUACUGGAAUUGGUGCCGUGUAAGGCUAAAGAGGAGACUGAAGAGGAAGUGCCAUCCCAGAGAGGAUGCACCCAGCCAUCAGCACAGCCCACAGCCUGUGCCAGAUCUGGGGAUGGGAUCCCCACGCUGGCAGAGCUGCACCCAUAUGGGUGGGCACUCCUUCCCUGUGCCACCUCAGCCAGUGCUGUUCUCACUUCCCUUUGCCAUCCUCAAAAAAAAAAAUCAUCUUGUUCAUGGUGCCAAAUCUGCCUGCACAGCCUGGGCAGUAGCAGGUGGGACUCACCGCCAUGUCCAGCACCUUUGCUUUUGAAAAAAU
Molecule: long non-coding RNA, 1058 nt
Filed under: Cyanistes caeruleus (blue tit)
Lineage: Eukaryota; Metazoa; Chordata; Aves; Passeriformes; Paridae
Description: lncRNA (ENSCCEG00000020323.1)
Source: RNAcentral